UACGUAGGGGCCGAGCGUUGUCCGGAGUUAUUGGGCGUAAAGCGCGCGCAGGCGGCCUUGCGCGCCCGACGUGAAAGCCCCCGGCUUAACCGGGGAGGGUCGUUGGGGACGGCGGGGCUUGAGGGCGGGAGAGGGUGGUGGAAUUCCCGGUGUAGUGGUGAAAUGCGUAGAGAUCGGGAGGAACACCCGUGGCGAAGGCGGCCACCUGGGCCGACCCUGACGCUGAGGCGCGAAGGCGUGGGGAGCGAACGGG
Molecule: ribosomal RNA, 253 nt
Filed under: uncultured bacterium
Lineage: Bacteria
Description: partial 16S ribosomal RNA
Rfam family: Bacterial small subunit ribosomal RNA
Source: RNAcentral